GCGUCGGUGGUUCAGUGGUAGAAUACUCGCCUGCCACGCGGGUGGCCCGGGUUCGAUUCCCAGCCGACGCA
This 71-nucleotide transfer RNA is filed under the name Ixodes scapularis (black-legged tick). Its description in RNAcentral is "tRNA-Gly for anticodon GCC". It matches the Rfam family "tRNA". From Rfam's summary of the family: Transfer RNA (tRNA) molecules are approximately 80 nucleotides in length. Their secondary structure includes four short double-helical elements and three loops (D, anti-codon, and T loops). Lineage: Eukaryota; Metazoa; Arthropoda; Arachnida; Ixodida; Ixodidae. The record is from RNAcentral. RNAcentral also lists the same sequence under 3 other names.